This 316-nucleotide ribosomal RNA is filed under the name uncultured eukaryote. RNAcentral's name for it is "partial 18S ribosomal RNA". It matches the Rfam family "Eukaryotic small subunit ribosomal RNA", at positions 1470 to 1796 of the family's 1831-position model. The record is from RNAcentral.
CCCCUAGAUGUUCUGGGCCGCACGCGCGCUACACUGAACAGUUCAACAAGUCUUAACCUUGGCCGAUAGGUCUGGGUAAUCUUUGAACGCUGUUCGUGAUUGGGAUAGACCUUUGCAAUUAUGGGUCUUCAACGAGGAAUUCCUAGUAAACGCAAGUCAUCAGCUUGCAUUGAUUACGCCCCUGCCCUUUGUACACACCGCCCGUCGCACCUACCGAUUGAAUGGUCCGGUGAAGCCUCCGGAUUGGCGUGCACCCUCGGGUGCUGCCGAGAAGUUGGCUAAACCUUACCAUUUAGAGGAAGGUGAAGUCGUAACA